CCUACGGGAGGCAGCAGUGGGGAAUAUUGCACAAUGGGCGCAAGCCUGAUGCAGCCAUGCCGCGUGUAUGAAGAAGGCCUUCGGGUUGUAAAGUACUUUCAGCGGGGAGGAAGGGGAAGUGGUUAAUAACCACUUUCAUUGACGUUACCCGCAGAAGAAGCACCGGCUAACUCCGUG
Molecule: ribosomal RNA, 177 nt
Filed under: uncultured Enterobacteriaceae bacterium
Lineage: Bacteria; Pseudomonadati; Pseudomonadota; Gammaproteobacteria; Enterobacterales; Enterobacteriaceae
Description: partial 16S ribosomal RNA
Rfam family: Bacterial small subunit ribosomal RNA
Source: RNAcentral